RNAcentral lists this ribosomal RNA (469 nucleotides) under uncultured bacterium. RNAcentral's name for it is "partial 16S ribosomal RNA". It matches the Rfam family "Bacterial small subunit ribosomal RNA", at positions 31 to 507 of the family's 1533-position model. The record is from RNAcentral.
GAACGCUGGCGGCGUGCUUAACACAUGCAAGUCGAACGCUGAAGCUUGGUGCUUGCACUGGGUGGAUGAGUGGCGAACGGGUGAGUAAUACGUGAGUAACCUGCCCUUGACUCUGGGAUAAGCCUGGGAAACUGGGUCUAAUACUGGAUACGACAUGUCACCGCAUGGUGGUGUGUGGAAAGGGUUUUACUGGUUUUGGAUGGGCUCACGGCCUAUCAGCUUGUUGGUGGGGUAAUGGCUCACCAAGGCGACGACGGGUAGCCGGCCUGAGAGAGUGACCGGCCACACUGGGACUGAGACACGGCCCAGACUCCUACGGGAGGCAGCAGUGGGGAAUAUUGCACAAUGGGCGGAAGCCUGAUGCAGCGACGCCGCGUGAGGGAUGACGGCCUUCGGGUUGUAAACCUCUUUCAGCACGGAAGAAGCGAAAGUGACGGUACGUGCAGAAGAAGCGCCGGCUAACUACGUG